UAGUAACCGGAACAACUUUCCCAUCGACCGAAGCCUCUCGAGUUUUAUCGUCUCCAGAAACAUCGUUCUUCUCAUCGUCGCUACACUCAUCCUCCGGUAAUAAAGCAGGGCCCGGACCGGAAAAGAAUCGGAGCAGGAGAGUCACCGCGGCAGCAGCCAGAACCUGGCCGAAACAGUUGCCGCCAAAUUUCACCACAUGGCUCACCAUUUUCCCGCCUAAACGCACCGUUUCCCUUCUAUCUCCAACCUCCUCCUCCUGCAACCUCAGUAAGCUGAGCAGCUAACUAUA
Molecule: unclassified non-coding RNA, 289 nt
Filed under: Hevea brasiliensis (rubber tree)
Lineage: Eukaryota; Viridiplantae; Streptophyta; Magnoliopsida; Malpighiales; Euphorbiaceae
Source: RNAcentral